RNAcentral lists this ribosomal RNA (529 nucleotides) under Eimeria cylindrica. RNAcentral's name for it is "SSU rRNA". It matches the Rfam family "Eukaryotic small subunit ribosomal RNA", at positions 159 to 686 of the family's 1831-position model. The record is from RNAcentral. Lineage: Eukaryota; Apicomplexa; Conoidasida; Eucoccidiorida; Eimeriidae.
UAUGGCUAAUACAUGCGCAAAUGCCUCCUUCUCUGGAGGGGCUGUGUUUAUUAGAUACAAAACCAACCCACUUUUGUGGAGUCCUGGUGAUUCAUAGUAACCGAACGGAUCGCAUUUGGCUUCGGCCCGCGAUAGAUCUUUCAAGUUUCUGACCUAUCAGCUUUCGACGGUAGGGUAUUGGCCUACCGUGGCAGUGACGGGUAACGGGGAAUUAGGGUUCGAUUCCGGAGAGGGAGCCUGAGAAACGGCUACCACAUCUAAGGAAGGCAGCAGGCGCGCAAAUUACCCAAUGAAAACAGUUUCGAGGUAGUGACGAGAAAUAACAAUACAGGGCAUUUUUUGCUCUGUAAUUGGAAUGAUGGGAAUGUAAAACCCUUCCAGAGUAACAAUUGGAGGGCAAGUCUGGUGCCAGCAGCCGCGGUAAUUCCAGCUCCAAUAGUGUAUAUUAGAGUUGUUGCAGUUAAAAAGCUCGUAGUUGGAUUUCUGCUGUGGUCAUCCGGUACCGCCCGUACGGGUGCGCACCUGGUUU